Molecule: non-coding RNA, 30 nt
Filed under: Mus musculus (house mouse)
Lineage: Eukaryota; Metazoa; Chordata; Mammalia; Rodentia; Muridae
Source: RNAcentral
UGCCCACCAUGCAUAGAGAUUGUGUAGUCC